Molecule: long non-coding RNA, 261 nt
Filed under: Olea europaea (common olive)
Lineage: Eukaryota; Viridiplantae; Streptophyta; Magnoliopsida; Lamiales; Oleaceae
Description: long non-coding RNA (OEUR_LNC014586)
Source: RNAcentral
UGUUUAAUAUUUAGUAUUUCACAGUUCUUAGCAGUGCAGUACGGGAUACAAUCACGAUUUGAACUAAUUUUUUAUUCUUUAGUAAUAUUCCUUGUUGUCGAGUCCAAAAUACCAAACAUGUCAUAAAAGUAUGGAAAAGUUCCUUGUUGAAAGAGUACUGCUCGUUAAAUUCUGGACUUACUGGUGACUGAGGUUCAUUUGUAACUGAUUGCCUCUCAGCAAAUGAAUAUCUUUCAUACUUCUCAAGGAUGCUGUCCAUGC